CAACACAACCCCCAUCCACCCUCUACAACCGAAAAAACGCGCCCCCUACCCCCGGCGCGGCUUUGGGUGGGGAGGGGUGGGGGGUUCAAAAAGUCCCGGCUAAUCUCGUGCCAGCAGCCGCGGUAAUACGAGAGGGGCGAGCGUUAUUCGGAAUGAUUGGGCGUAAAGCGUGCGUAGAUUGUUUAAUUUUAAUAUUUAAA
This 200-nucleotide ribosomal RNA is filed under the name Prototheca wickerhamii. Its description in RNAcentral is "partial small subunit ribosomal RNA". It matches the Rfam family "Bacterial small subunit ribosomal RNA", at positions 432 to 599 of the family's 1533-position model. Lineage: Eukaryota; Viridiplantae; Chlorophyta; Trebouxiophyceae; Chlorellales; Chlorellaceae. The record is from RNAcentral.